RNAcentral lists this ribosomal RNA (527 nucleotides) under uncultured bacterium. RNAcentral describes it as "bacterial SSU rRNA". It matches the Rfam family "Bacterial small subunit ribosomal RNA", at positions 777 to 1304 of the family's 1533-position model. The record is from RNAcentral.
AAUAGAUACCCGGGUAGUCCACGCCGUAAACGAUGUCGACUUGGAGGUUGUUCCCUUGAGGAGUGGCUUCCGGAGCUAACGCGUUAAGUCGACCGCCUGGGGAGUACGGCCGCAAGGUUAAAACUCAAAUGAAUUGACGGGGGCCCGCACAAGCGGUGGAGCAUGUGGUUUAAUUCGAUGCAACGCGAAGAACCUUACCUACUCUUGACAUCCACGGAACUUAGCAGAGAUGCUUUGGUGCCUUCGGGAACCGUGAGACAGGUGCUGCAUGGCUGUCGUCAGCUCGUGUUGUGAAAUGUUGGGUUAAGUCCCGCAACGAGCGCAACCCUUAUCCUUUGUUGCCAGCGGUUAGGCCGGGAACUCAAAGGAGACUGCCAGUGAUAAACUGGAGGAAGGUGGGGAUGACGUCAAGUCAUCAUGGCCCUUACGAGUAGGGCUACACACGUGCUACAAUGGCGCAUACAAAGAGAAGCGACCUCGCGAGAGCAAGCGGACCUCAUAAAGUGCGUCGUAGUCCGGAUUGGAGU